UAGGGAAUCUUCCGCAAUGGACGAAAGUCUGACGGAGCAACGCCGCGUGAGCGAAGAAGGCCUUCGGGUCGUAAAGCUCUGUUGUUAGGGAAGAACAAGUACGAGAGUAACUGCUCGUACCUUGACGGUACCUAACCAGAAAGCCACGGCUAACUACGUGCCAGCAGCCGCGGUAAUACGUAGGUGGCAAGCGUUGUCCGGAAUUAUUGGGCGUAAAGCGCGCGCAGGCGGUCCUUUAAGUCUGAUGUGAAAGCCCACGGCUCAACCGUGGAGGGUCAUUGGAAACUGGGGGACUUGAGUGCAGAAGAGGAGAGUGGAAUUCCACGUGUAGCGGUGAAAUGCGUAGAGAUGUGGAGGAACACCAGUGGCGAAGGCGACUCUCUGGUCUGUAACUGACGCUGAGGCGCGAAAGCGUGGGGAGCAAACAGGAUUAGAUACCCUGGUAGUCCACGCCGUAAACGAUGAGUGCUAAGUGUUAGAGGGUUUCCGCCUUUAGUGCUG
This 501-nucleotide ribosomal RNA is filed under the name uncultured Bacillota bacterium. Its description in RNAcentral is "bacterial SSU rRNA". It matches the Rfam family "Bacterial small subunit ribosomal RNA", at positions 355 to 848 of the family's 1533-position model. The record is from RNAcentral. Lineage: Bacteria; Bacillati; Bacillota.